UUCGUAGGCGGCGCGGCAAGUCGGAAGUGAAAUCUCCGGGCUUAACCCAGAGGCUGCUCCCGAAACUGCCGUGCUAGAGUGCGGGAGAGGCGAGUGGAAUUGCAGGUGUAGCGGUGAAAUGCGUAGAUAUCUGCAGGAACACCCGUGGCGAAGGCGGCUCGCUGGACCGCAACUGACGCUGAGGAACGAAAGCUAGGGGAGCAAACAGGAUUAGAUACCCUGGUAGUCCUAGCCCUAAACCAUCAGGACUUGGGGUGCAUCCCGUUCGGGGUGCGUCCCGUAGCUAACGCGUUAAGUCCUGCGCCUGGGAGUACGGUCGCAAGACUGAA
This 329-nucleotide ribosomal RNA is filed under the name uncultured bacterium. RNAcentral describes it as "bacterial SSU rRNA". It matches the Rfam family "Bacterial small subunit ribosomal RNA", at positions 568 to 898 of the family's 1533-position model. The record is from RNAcentral.